RNAcentral lists this ribosomal RNA (497 nucleotides) under uncultured bacterium. Its description in RNAcentral is "partial 16S ribosomal RNA". It matches the Rfam family "Bacterial small subunit ribosomal RNA", at positions 28 to 507 of the family's 1533-position model. The record is from RNAcentral.
GAUGAACGCUGGCGGCGUGCCUAAUACAUGCAAGUCGAGCGAACAGACGAGGAGCUUGCUCCUCUGACGUUAGCGGCGGACGGGUGAGUAACACGUGGAUAACCUACCUAUAAGACUGGGAUAACUUCGGGAAACCGGAGCUAAUACCGGAUAAUAUAUUGAACAGCAUGGUUCAAUAGUGAAAGACGGGUUUGCUGUCACUUAUAGAUGGAUCCGCGCCGCAUUAGCUAGUUGGUAAGGUAACGGCUUACCAAGGCGACGAUGCGUAGCCGACCUGAGAGGGUGAUCGGCCACACUAGAACUGAGACACGGUCCAGACUCCUACGGGAGGCAGCCAUAGGGAAUCUUCCGCAAUGGGCGAAAGCCUGACGGAGCAACGCUGCGUGAGUGAUGAAGAUCUUCGGAUCGUAAAACUCUGUUAUUAGGGAAGAACAAAUGUGUAAGUAACUAUGCACGUCUUGACGGUACCUAAUCAGAAAGCCACGGCUAACUACGUG